GGGGAAUUUUGGACAAUGGGCGCAAGCCUGAUCCAGCCAUGCCGCGUGAGUGAAGAAGGCCUUCGGGUUGUAAAGCUCUUUCGGCCGGGACGAAAUCGCACGGGUUAACACCGCGUGUGGAUGACGGUACCGGAAUAAGAAGCACCGGCUAACUACGUGCCAGCAGCCGCGGUAAUACGUAGGGUGCGAGCGUUAAUCGGAAUUACUGGGCGUAAAGCGUGCGCAGGCGGUUUUGUAAGCCAGAUGUGAAAUCCCCGGGCUUAACCUGGGAACUGCAUUUGGGACUGCAAGGCUAGAGUACGGCAGAGGGGGGUAGAAUUCCUGGUGUAGCAGUGAAAUGCGUAGAUAUCAGGAGGAAUACCGAUGGCGAAGGCAGCCCCCUGGGUCGAUACUGACGCUCAUGCACGAAAGCGUGGGGAGCAAAC
RNAcentral lists this ribosomal RNA (425 nucleotides) under uncultured bacterium. RNAcentral's name for it is "bacterial SSU rRNA". It matches the Rfam family "Bacterial small subunit ribosomal RNA", at positions 356 to 773 of the family's 1533-position model. The record is from RNAcentral.